GAAUCAUCUGAAAAUGGAAACACUUUUACCUUCAAUCAAAAGCUAGAAUCAUUACAUAAGAUGUCAUUCCCUUACCAAGAAUCCAGACAAUCCUUGCAAAAGAUUAAAUGUUUUGGUUACUGAUGUAGUUCUCUGGUAUGCUAAGCUCGUAUGAUUUUGCAGGACGCGGGCUAGCUUGGCUUUCGUUCUUUUUCUACAAUUGGGUGAAACACAGCUGGGAUUGAUUGCUAUCAAUUCAGAGCUCCUCUUGGCGACUGAUGGGUCCAUUGACAUAGGCAUAUCUCAUGUCAUGUCUUGGUCAAUUUGGAUUUGGGCUGCGGUUUUGAUUCUUCAAAGCUCAGAAGAUGCUUGUCUUGCUGGAGGAGCUUUGGUAUUUUCUGUCUCAACUUUACUAAAGAUGAUCACCAUAUUGAUUUUCUCACAGUCUUUACGCAGGUAAGUGACAUUCAUUUGAUCAUGCAUCUAAUAAGCUAUAUUCUCUGAAAUAUCACAUAUGCAAUGGACUUAUUUUUUUCGUGUGCAUGACUUUGAUGGUCAAACUGCUAAUCAUGAGGGAUGAAAUUAGAGAUGAUGUAAGACCAUCUGUCUGGUAUUGUAUCAUCUUCUACAUUUACUUUCAGAGAGGAAAUGAGGAAUUUGAAAGAAGCUAUGGAAGAAUAUAAAGCAAAAAGGAAGGAAGAUCGAAACAAAGGAAGAUGAGGAAUAGAUUAGAAAUGCAAAGGAGGAUGGAGAACCGAGCAUUGGCGCUAAACUAAACUUUAUCACUCUCUUGUGUAAUCAGGU
Brassica oleracea var. oleracea is the source of this 783-nucleotide long non-coding RNA. RefSeq lists it as uncharacterized. Lineage: Eukaryota; Viridiplantae; Streptophyta; Magnoliopsida; Brassicales; Brassicaceae. The transcript is spliced from 3 exons. The record is from RefSeq and is a predicted model, not a curated record.